AGAGACAAGCAGGGGAAACAAAGCAAAAGAAAAUGGUAAAGGAAAAAAAGAAAUAAAUACAAAAUAAAGGAGCUCUGCAUCUAUUAUCUGCUAAACUGAAACAACAAACUUACCUGCUGAUAUGAAAAACGUCUAUAAUGAAUAAUCCAAGUUCCAUUUUUACUAAGCAAAAGGAAAAUAAUGGUAGCCAUUGAAAAUGACUGAUAUUAAAAGAAAGAUAUCGGUUUUAACAGUGUGCAUAGAACUUCGAACUUCAAAUCCAAUAUGCAACGGCUCUAGGUUUAACUUCUGGGAUCAACAAAUAAUUAAAAGCUCUACAUUGUAAUUUCUAAUAUCUUCAAUGAGAAUAUUCAUGAAAGUUUUGGUAU
Molecule: unclassified non-coding RNA, 368 nt
Filed under: Hevea brasiliensis (rubber tree)
Lineage: Eukaryota; Viridiplantae; Streptophyta; Magnoliopsida; Malpighiales; Euphorbiaceae
Source: RNAcentral